This is a long non-coding RNA of Panthera uncia (snow leopard), 1215 nucleotides long. RefSeq lists it as uncharacterized. The record is from RefSeq and is a predicted model, not a curated record. The transcript is spliced from 3 exons. NCBI's taxonomy places the organism in Eukaryota, Metazoa, Chordata, Mammalia, Carnivora, Felidae.
AAGGUGGGGGGCCGCCUCUCCUGGAGGUCGGCUCCACCCCGGCGGGGUCAUCGUUCCGCCCGCUGAUGGAAACCAAGCAGUCACAAAUUUGUUACUGGAGGUGGCACCUGGUGUGGAAGAGGCCACGGGAAGCUUUAUGAAUGCGUGGUUUCAGAGGGAGACAGCAGCUGCAGACGAUGACAACGUCUGUGCCGUGGCCCCAGGAUUGGGUGGCUGCAGCAGUGUGGAUCCUCGCACACACCUGCCAGACGGUCAUCGGGGACGUCAAGUGAAGCAACGGGGUCCCGAAUGAAACUUGCUCAGACCUACCGCGCACUCCACUCGAGCCCUUGGCAACAGCCCUGUUCCCUAGUUCCGGGCCCAAAUCACCGAGGCGUGCGGCUGGUCGGAGACGUGGCACCACUGUGGCCUGGAAUGUUCUGCCCCGUGGCCUGGGCCUGGCACAGGAAGCAGGGCGAGGUGAGGAAGGAGCCCAGCGAGCUGGCGCGAGUCAGCCUUGUCCUGUGGCGACCUGUCAGAGCCAUGAAUGCCCUGGAGCUCGUCCUUCCACGGAAACGUCUGGAAUGAUUGUCUCUGUGUUCCUCAACCAGUUCUCCCAAUAAUGGUGACACUUGAGGCGUUUCGAACAUUGUUUUUGGGGAAAUACAGUGUCUCCUGCUCACUUGGCUGUGUUAAGUCAUUUACUUAUGCUGUUUGCUCAGCAGGUGGCAUUUUUGUUCAGUGAUUUCAUUCGUCGCUGCCUGUGUUUAUCGACCAUGACAUAUUAAUCAUGCAAAUUAGGACAUUAUUAAUGAAGGAAAAAUUAAUUCCGCCGCUGCUCCUGGGUUUGCUGUGACAGCUCUGUUAAUGCCCGUUCACCGCUAACACCGGCAGCGACUUCUCCGCGGCUGCCGCGAGUUGACACGUUACAUUCAGGGUAGAGGUUGGGGACCGAAGCACAGAGGCGACUUUUCCUCUGCAAGGUUGGUGUUAAAAGCACGGAUGUAUCUGAGAGUGCACGUUUUGGGGACACUUUUGCGAAAUCCCCUUUUCCUCCCGCUGCGGGGAUCUGCUCCGUCUCCCGGGGUCUCCUGGUGAGGCCCGUGGCGCACAAAUGCGAGCCCGCUGGACCCGUGCGCGUGGGCCUCGGUGAUUUCUAAGUCCCAGGCUUCUUGUUUUCCAAACGCUCCUUGCAGAACCGACCCCGUGAAUCAUUCUUUCUCAAAGGGCCCCUUC